RNAcentral lists this unclassified non-coding RNA (266 nucleotides) under uncultured fungus. RNAcentral describes it as "partial contains 5.8S ribosomal RNA, internal transcribed spacer 2, and large subunit ribosomal RNA". The stretch from base 1 to 52 matches the Rfam family "5.8S ribosomal RNA", at positions 103 to 154 of the family's 154-position model. The record is from RNAcentral. Lineage: Eukaryota; Fungi.
AACGCACAUUGCGCCCGCCAGUAUUCUGGCGGGCAUGCCUGUCCGAGCGUCAUUUCAACCCUCAAGCCGCCGCUUGGUGCUGGGGACCGGCCGCCGCCUCCGCGCCGCCGCCCCCGAAAUGAAUUGGCGGUCACGCCGCGGUCUCCCCUGCGCAGUAGCACAAGAAACACCUCGCAACGGGAGCGCGGCGCGGCCACGGCCGUAAAACGCCCAGCUUCUUCUCAAGAGUUGACCUCGGAUCAGGUAGGAAUACCCGCUGAACUUAA